RNAcentral lists this ribosomal RNA (462 nucleotides) under uncultured bacterium. RNAcentral's name for it is "partial 16S ribosomal RNA". It matches the Rfam family "Bacterial small subunit ribosomal RNA", at positions 28 to 507 of the family's 1533-position model. The record is from RNAcentral.
GACGAACGCUGGCGGCGUGCUUAACACAUGCAAGUCGAACGGAAAGGCCCUUCGGGGUACUCGAGUGGCGAACGGGUGAGUAACACGUGGGUGAUCUGCCCUGCACUUUGGGAUAAGCCUGGGAAACUGGGUCUAAUACCGAAUAGGACCACGCGCUUCAUGGUGUGUGGUGGAAAGCUUUUGCGGUGUGGGAUGGGCCCGCGGCCUAUCAGCUUGUUGGUGGGGUAAUGGCCUACCAAGGCGACGACGGGUAGCCGGCCUGAGAGGGUGACCGGCCACACUGGGACUGAGAUACGGCCCAGACUCCUACGGGAGGCAGCAGUGGGGAAUAUUGCACAAUGGGCGCAAGCCUGAUGCAGCGACGCCGCGUGAGGGAUGACGGCCUUCGGGUUGUAAACCCCUUUCAAUAGGGACGAAGCGCAAGUGACGGUACCUAUAGAAGAAGCACCGGCCAACUACGUG